Molecule: transfer RNA, 85 nt
Filed under: Saprospirales bacterium
Lineage: Bacteria; Pseudomonadati; Bacteroidota; Saprospiria; Saprospirales
Also listed under: 3 other names
Description: tRNA-Ser
Rfam family: tRNA
About the family: Transfer RNA (tRNA) molecules are approximately 80 nucleotides in length. Their secondary structure includes four short double-helical elements and three loops (D, anti-codon, and T loops).
Source: RNAcentral
GGAGAGGUGACAGAGUGGUCGAUUGUGCUUGACUCGAAAUCAAGUGUACCUUCGGGUACCGGGGGUUCGAAUCCCUCCCUCUCCG